This 204-nucleotide unclassified non-coding RNA is filed under the name Buckleyzyma armeniaca. RNAcentral describes it as "sequence contains ITS2". The record is from RNAcentral. Lineage: Eukaryota; Fungi; Basidiomycota; Cystobasidiomycetes; Buckleyzymales; Buckleyzymaceae.
AACUCUCAACCCCCUUAUUUUGUAAUGAAAUAAGUUGUGGGCUUGGAUUAUGGUUGUCUGUCGGCUUUGCAGCCGGCUCAACUGAAAUACACGAGCUGCCCAUAUUUUGAAAUAGACGGUUUGACUCGGCGUAAUAAUUAUUUCGCUGAGGACGUCCCAUUUUCAAUUAACAAGUGGUGCUUCUAAUUUGAUAAUCAUUUAAGC